UCGGGAUAGCUCAGCCGGUAGAGCAGAGGACUGAAA
RNAcentral lists this transfer RNA (36 nucleotides) under Parkinsonia praecox. RNAcentral describes it as "partial tRNA-Phe". The record is from RNAcentral. RNAcentral also lists the same sequence under 5 other names. Lineage: Eukaryota; Viridiplantae; Streptophyta; Magnoliopsida; Fabales; Fabaceae.